This 433-nucleotide ribosomal RNA is filed under the name uncultured bacterium. RNAcentral describes it as "partial 16S ribosomal RNA". It matches the Rfam family "Bacterial small subunit ribosomal RNA", at positions 29 to 507 of the family's 1533-position model. The record is from RNAcentral.
AACGAACGCCGGCGGCAUGCCUAACACAUGCAAGUCGAACGAGACCUUCGGGUCUAGUGGCGCACGGGUGCGUAACGCGUGGGAACCUGCCCUUAGGUUCGGAAUAACUCCCCGAAAGGGGUGCUAAUACCGGAUAAUGUCUUCGGACCAAAGAUUUAUCGCCUUUGGAUGGGCCCGCGUUGGAUUAGCUAGUUGGUAGGGUAAAAGCCUACCAAGGCGACGAUCCAUAGCUGGUCUGAGAGGAUGAUCAGCCACACUGGGACUGAGACACGGCCCAGACUCCUACGGGAAGCAGCAGUGGGGAAUAUUGGACAAUGGGCGAAAGCCUGAUCCAGCUAUGCCGCGUGAGUGAUGAAGGCCUUAGGGUUGUAAAGCUCUUUUACCCGGGAUGAUAAUGACAGUACCGGGAGAAUAAGCUCCGGCUAACUCCGUG